AAUCCUGGGGCGAGUGGCGAACGGGUGAGUAAUAUAUCGGAACGUGCCCAGUAGUGGGGGAUAGCCCGGCGAAAGCCGGAUUAAUACCGCAUGAGACCUGAGGGUGAAAGCGGGGGAUCGCAAGACCUCGCGCUACUGGAGCGGCCGAUAUCAGAUUAGCUAGUUGGUGGGGUAAAGGCCUACCAAGGCAACGAUCUGUAGUUGGUCUGAGAGGACGACCAGCCACACUGGGACUGAGACACGGCCCAGACUCCUACGGGAGGCAGCAGUGGGGAAUUUUGGACAAUGGGCGCAAGCCUGAUCCAGCAAUGCCGCGUGCAGGAAGAAGGCCUUCGGGUUGUAAACUGCUUUUGUCAGGGAAGAAAUCCUCUGGGUUAAUACCUCGGGGGGAUGACGGUACCUGAAGAAUAAGCACCGGCUAACUACGUGCCAGCAGCCGCGGUAAUACGUGGGUGCGAGCGUUAUCGGAAUUACUGGGCGUAAGCGUGCGCAGGCGGCUUUGCAAGACAGAUGUGAAAUCCCCGGGCUAACCUGGGAACUGCA
RNAcentral lists this ribosomal RNA (543 nucleotides) under uncultured Burkholderiales bacterium. Its description in RNAcentral is "bacterial SSU rRNA". It matches the Rfam family "Bacterial small subunit ribosomal RNA", at positions 82 to 625 of the family's 1533-position model. The record is from RNAcentral. Lineage: Bacteria; Pseudomonadati; Pseudomonadota; Betaproteobacteria; Burkholderiales.